CAGAAAAUAGUUUAAUUUUAAAAUAUUAAUUUUGGAGAUUAGUGAUAAAGGGUUCUUUUUUUCUGA
RNAcentral lists this transfer RNA (66 nucleotides) under Trichopygomyia trichopyga. RNAcentral describes it as "tRNA-Pro". It matches the Rfam family "tRNA". From Rfam's summary of the family: Transfer RNA (tRNA) molecules are approximately 80 nucleotides in length. Their secondary structure includes four short double-helical elements and three loops (D, anti-codon, and T loops). The record is from RNAcentral. Lineage: Eukaryota; Metazoa; Arthropoda; Insecta; Diptera; Psychodidae.